GUGCCAGCAGCCGCGGUAAUACGGAGGGUGCAAGCGUUAUCCGGAUUUACUGGGUUUAAAGGGUGCGUAGGUGGGCAGGUAAGUCAGUGGUGAAAUCUUCAAGCUUAACUUGGAAACUGCCAUUGAUACUAUUUGUCUUGAAUAUCCUGGAGGUAAGCGGAAUAUGUCAUGUAGCGGUGAAAUGCUUAGAUAUGACAUAGAACACCCAUUGCGAAGGCAGCUUACUACGGGAUUAUUGACACUGAGGCACGAAAGCGUGGGGAUCAAACAGGAUUAGAAACCCGCGUAGUCC
This 292-nucleotide ribosomal RNA is filed under the name uncultured bacterium. RNAcentral's name for it is "partial 16S ribosomal RNA". It matches the Rfam family "Bacterial small subunit ribosomal RNA", at positions 505 to 796 of the family's 1533-position model. The record is from RNAcentral.